This 152-nucleotide non-coding RNA is filed under the name Halobacillus sp. RNAcentral's name for it is "FMN sequence". It matches the Rfam family "FMN riboswitch aptamer (RFN element)". Rfam says of the family: The RFN element is a highly conserved domain that is found frequently in the 5'-untranslated regions of prokaryotic mRNAs that encode for flavin mononucleotide (FMN) biosynthesis and transport proteins. This element is a metabolite-dependent riboswitch that directly binds FMN in the absence of proteins. In Bacillus subtilis, the riboswitch most likely controls gene expression by causing premature transcription termination within the 5' untranslated region of the ribDEAHT operon and precluding access to the ribosome-binding site of ypaA mRNA. Lineage: Bacteria; Bacillati; Bacillota; Bacilli; Caryophanales; Bacillaceae. The record is from RNAcentral. RNAcentral also lists the same sequence under 1 other name.
UGAAUCCUUCGGGGUCGGGUGAAAAUCCCAGCCGGCGGUAAUGAGCGAAUAGUUCCGAGCCCGCGACGGGGAGUGAGUGUCAAACACCAUUCCUCCUGAUUUGGUGUAGAUUCCAAAGCCGACAGUUAAAGUCUGGAUGGGAGAAGGAUGUG